RNAcentral lists this long non-coding RNA (798 nucleotides) under Homo sapiens (human). Its description in RNAcentral is "HSALNT0399298". Lineage: Eukaryota; Metazoa; Chordata; Mammalia; Primates; Hominidae. The record is from RNAcentral.
UCUCGAAUCCACCUCACGGGAACAAAAGAAAGCUGACCACAAACAUCUACCAGCAUCCCGUGGGUACAUGAUGGGAGGCAUCAGUGGGAGGAGUCCCGAAGGAGGACUCAGCUCAAGGCUUCCAGAAGGAAGAGGAACACAGGUGUCAUCACCUGACUGAGGUUCUGACCAAUGGAACACAGGUGGAAGUUGUUGGAGAAAACGCCUUAAAACGGGAACAGCUGCAAUAUCAGCUGCAAGACAUUCUUUUACCUUUCCACCUGCCUGGGACCUGGAUGUGGAACUGCAGUGUGCCUUGCAAACUUGAAGAGAACGACCUUGAUAAUGGAUGGUGAAGCAAGAAAGAGGAGCCUGAGGCUGAGCGCAGUGACUCACACCUGUAAUCCCAGCACUUUGGGAGGCUAAGGUGGGCAGAUUGCUUGAGCCCAGGAAUUUGAGACCAGCCUGGAUAACGCGUGGUGGGCAGUUCCAGGACACCUGACAUGUUCCCACUGCAGAAACCACACGGGUUUCUCCAGCACCACUGAGACUUGCUCAGCCUGUGUAGAGUAGCCUGGACAUACUGGGGCUUUAUUUUCCUGAGGACAACCCUCAACCAAUGAGUGCCAGGAAUCAGUACUAUAUACAACAUGUGCUAUAUACAACAGACUCAUGUAUAUAAAUGUGUAUUUGUUGUUGAGAAUUUUUUUUGGAAGGAGACACAGGAAAUUGGUAAGCCUGAUUACUUCCAUAAAGGAGAACUGGGGUUGGGGUAUCUGAAUGACAGAGGCUGGGAGGUGGAAGCUGUAGUGAGCCAUG